Molecule: ribosomal RNA, 497 nt
Filed under: uncultured bacterium
Lineage: Bacteria
Description: partial 16S ribosomal RNA
Rfam family: Bacterial small subunit ribosomal RNA
Source: RNAcentral
GAUGAACGCUGGCGGCGUGCCUAAUACAUGCAAGUCGAGCGAACGGACGAGAAGCUUGCUUCUCUGAUGUUAGCGGCGGACGGGUGAGUAACACGUGGAUAACCUACCUAUAAGACUGGGAUAACUUCGGGAAACCGGAGCUAAUACCGGAUAAUAUUUUGAACCGCAUGGUUCAAAAGUGAAAGACGGUCUUGCUGUCACUUAUAGAUGUAUCCGCGCUGCAUUAGCUAGUUGGUAAGGUAACGGCUUACCAAGGCAACGAUGCAUAGCCGACCUGAGAGAGUGAUCGUCCACACUGGAACUGAGACACGGUCCAGACUCCUACGGGAGGCAGCAGUAGGGAAUCUUCCGCAAUGGGCGGAAGCCUGACGGAGCAACGCCGCGUGAGUGAUGAAGGUCUUCGGAUCGUAAAACUCUGUUAUUAGGGAAGAACAUAUGUGUAAGUAACUGUGCACAUCUUGACGGUACCUAAUCAGAUAGCCACGGCUAACUACGUU